RNAcentral lists this ribosomal RNA (271 nucleotides) under uncultured bacterium. RNAcentral describes it as "partial 16S ribosomal RNA". It matches the Rfam family "Bacterial small subunit ribosomal RNA", at positions 524 to 794 of the family's 1533-position model. The record is from RNAcentral.
UACAGAGGUCUCAAGCGUUGUUCGGAAUUACUGGGCGUAAAGCGCGCGUAGGUGGUUCAGCAAGUUGGAUGUGAAAGCCCUGGGCUCAACCUGGGGACUGCAUCCAAAACUACUGAGCUAGAGUACGGUAGAGGGUAGUGGAAUUUCCUGUGUAGCGGUGAAAUGCGUAGAUAUAGGAAGGAACACCAGUGGCGAAGGCGACUACCUGGACUGAUACUGACACUGAGGUGCGAAAGCGUGGGGAGCAAACAGGAUUAGAAACCCCAGUAGU